This is a long non-coding RNA of Panicum virgatum (switchgrass), 3774 nucleotides long. RefSeq lists it as uncharacterized. The record is from RefSeq and is a predicted model, not a curated record. Lineage: Eukaryota; Viridiplantae; Streptophyta; Magnoliopsida; Poales; Poaceae. The transcript is spliced from 3 exons.
CCCGAAUGCCCAGCCCGAGUUCCUCCUCCGCGCCUCCUCCCCGACCUGUCGACGGUUCCGUCCGUCUCCCCAUCGCCCUCGCAGACGGCCGCGGUCGCCGCACAACGUCUCGCGAGCGGUUCCAGCUCGUGCGCCGCCCUCGCCUUCGCCAUCCCGUCUCGCUCGCCCAUGCCGCCGCUCUGCCUUCCCCCUCGCGCCGCCCUCUAGCCUCACUGGAAGCGAGCGGCCACCUCUCUGCCGCGCCGCCGCGCUCCCUCACCCCCGUGCCUACGACGGAUCCCCGCCCUGGCACUCGGCCGCUGGCUCCCCUAGCGCCCGGCCUACUCUCCAUCGGGCCUCCACCUCUCCGUCAAUCCACCCCAUCCGCUGGCCGUGGGUUCGCACACGCCGCCGAUCCGCUUGGGCUCGCGCCUUCCCUGCUGUCGUCGAUCCGAGCGGACCCCGCUGCCCUGCAUCGGCGGAUCGGCCGCCGCUCCGCUCGGGCUGCUGCACAACCGCGCCGCCGCCGCCGCCGAACCGAGCCCUCCCUCUCUCAUGCGCUGCAUCUUGCAGGACUCGUGGCCGUUGAGGUCCCGUUCAGCCCAGGGUGGUAGACGGUGGAAAAGGUGCAGGUGGCGCCGGUGGCACGGGAGCCGGCCCCUUCGACGAUGAGAGGCUGGUCGCGAAGCUCAACGAGUAUUCAGAGUAUCCUUUUUUUUCCAUUGUUACUUUCUUGCAUGCUCGCAAAUUCCGAAGCCUAGGUGUUUCUGUCCGUUUCAUAUUCAAGCAGCCCUAACUUUUGAAAGAUUUUACUAUUUAAUUAUUUAUGUGCAGCACUUUUGAAAGAUUUUAGUAUUUAUGCGCAGCGUGAUUUUUGAAAGAGUUCUUCAACUCGUAAACAGUGUCCCCCUGAUCUUGGCUAACCCUGAAACAAUUUGUCUUCUCCACGGAGUGGCCACAAUCCUUCGUCAGGCUGCUUCAAUUUCAGUCGGAUCCGGUGGUGUGCAACUUUGCUUGAUAAACUAGAAAUUUCGUAGAGAUGCAGAAUAUGACAUGAGCCCUGGUUCUGAUUUUUCAAUUUUUUGGCAGCCCUCGCCCUCACAGCCUCCACCCAUUACCUCAAAGGUCAAUGAGCUCUCCCUCCAACUAUUGGUCUGUCAUGGAAUUUCAUUUAGAUAAUUUUAGCUGAUGGUUUGGUGAUUACACUUGGUUCGUUGAGGAAUUAUAAUUCAUACAAUUUUAGCUGAUGGUUAAGAGAUGAUCAAGUCAAUCUUAAAAGUGUCGUAUAUUGUUUUGUCUACUGUCUUUGCUUUGGAUGAUUUAGAUGGAAGGCCCGUCACUUUAAUAGGAUAAUGAUAGAGCAUCAACCUGUUAUGGCCUCCAAUUUAUUUACUGUGUCAAGCAUGCAUACUGAUAGGGCUUCAACAUAUUAGUAUGUGGCAAUGCUUAAGACACUUGCUAACCUGUGAAGCAACCUCUUAGUGCUUUACUGUUUUAAUAGGAAGGCUGAUUUCAAUUUAAAAAGUGAAACAGGCAUGGGAAGAAAAAAUUCCAAGUCGCAAUGAAAAAGAAAAGUAAUUCCCAAAAGUAACCCAACUAAAGUUUAUCUUCAAUUCAUGCUGCUGAAAUUAGUCAGGAAUCCUUCUUCAGUUGCCAUAAAGUAGUGUAGCUUUUGGGACCCAUCUCAUGCCUGGAUUUCGAUGCCUUCUAAAAAUAUUUGCCUACACAGUCUAAAGAUAAUCCAUAAAGGGUAUUCUUGCUUGGUGAUACAAGGCAUUCUUUGAGUACCUCCAUCUUGUCUGAAUUAAUGUAUUGAGAUACAUCUCUCAGUAAAUAUUUGUGGGCUUACUCUGAUCACAACAUGCAUAUGAUGGACACUUUUAAUAUUGAAUUGUCUGAACCACAUCAAGUCAAGGGAGUUUCCUUUGUAUGAUAUUUUUGUUAGUUUUAAGAUGGGUUUGUUAAAAAAACUAAUGUUUGUGGAAAACGUUGUCUGGUUGUUAAAUCCCUCUGACACUCUUUUCAGUGGCAUGCUCAACAAAGUAUGUUCUUUUUCUUACAUCAGUUCUCUUAUUUUCAUGUACAGUAUGGUCCUCCUUUUAAAUAUAUCUGUUAGCCAUAAUGUGCAUUGACACUGAUUGCAACAUGCCACGAGAUUAAACAUUUUUUACAUAUGCAUUACCUUCCCUGGGUACUGCUAUUCUUGAUUGAAUGUGUUCUUGCAAGUACUGCUCAGCUUCACACUACUCACUUUGCCUACUGAUAUUUUUCCUCUUACAGAAUAUUUCUAUGCUUUGUAAAGUUUUGUUUUAACAUCAUAUUCUUCAAUGGAUUUCUUGACCUGUGACUUGUGGAGGUUGAGCAAACGUCACUUUGCCUUUUAUCUGAUCUGAGCCAUUUCAUUGUCAUGUGAACGUUGCAAUGCCCAGAAGAAUGCAAAGUAUGGCUGGCUCACGCCUUGUACUCAGAUUUAUGCAUUGUGGAUGAAAGUGAUUUCUGAUGCAUUUAGUGAGGUAUAUCUUGUACCGAAAAUUUUUGUGUUUGUCUUCUUCGCAAUUUGGGCCGAUGGAUGAUCAGGCUGCCAAGGCAUUCCGUCUCUUCUCCAUUUAGUAGGCCAAGGUACUAGCAUUGCUCCAUUUAAAUGAUGAAUCACCCUGAAAUAUCAAGCUGUGGAGACUAACAUAACACUGGAAAUUUUUAUUGGUUGAGUUCAGCAUUUAUCACAUUGCUAAACACUUUCAAAGUGCUGGACCACACUAUGUAAGUUUGGAUUAGUCGAGGUACUUGUGGUAUUCUCCAAAAUUGCAAUGUCGGUUCUGUUUAUUUUCACAUAAUUUCUGAACUUGAAAAGUUCUCAAGUGAAUUUACUUACUAUAAGAAACCAGUGAAUUAAGUUACUAUAAGAAACCAGUGCUUCCAUACAAUAAAUAAUUCAAACUGUGUUCGAAUUUAUGUAAUGGCUGUUCGUAUAAUAUAAUAUUAACAUGUUGACAUUUAUAUGUGCAUGAUAAAAUGACAAUUUAUUCCCUAUAUACUAGACUAGGUUUUCUGAUACUCUAUUUGGCAAUGAAGUCUUCAUUUACCUUAUUGCAGUGAACAAGGGUUACACAAUGUGCCAGAUUUGAUUUAUACUUUUCCGAUGCUAGCACUGAGAGAAUAUAUAUAUAUACUUGAAGAUUGAUGCUUGUGGAGGUAAUUUAUAUGCCUGAGUUGCUACGUUUCAUAUAAAUGAAGAUUGAUGCUUCACUUUUUCUCAAAAAAAAUGAUGCUUCACUUGUGUAUGGGAGCAAAUUCAAUAUCCACAUAAGGCUUCAGAAGAUUUCUGACAAGGUUGGAGAGGCACAAGAUGCAGAUUGUAGAGGCUAGGCGGCAGGCUGUGUUCGAGGUGGAGGUGCGGGUGUUUGCGGCAAGGAGGCGGCUGGUGGAGCUGGAGUCGAUGCAUGCAGAGGGUGAGAGGAUGAAAACCGCCACAUAGGAGCUGGACAACCUUAAGAGGGUCCACUCGUGUGUCUGAUGAAGAUAACUAGAGUAUGAGCUGCUAAUUUGCUCACAGAUAACUAGCUAUUUAAGCAGAUCUGUAAUUUAGUUAUCAGUGCACAACAAGAAAAUAUUGAUAGAGGUGCUUGUUAAGCAUAAGAGACAGACCACAUAGAUGGCUGGUUAUAUCUUGUCAUUAUUGAUGCUAUUUGUUCUAUACUUAUGUCCUUACAAAUUAGAAGCCUCCUGCUGUCCUCCAUGUACCAUGUAGCAAUGUUCAGCAGCUGCGUUUUGUAAAACUGUAUGAUCUGUUCUGCA